AGAACACGAAGUGGUUGAUGCCAUGCUUCCAAGAAAAGCUUCUAAGCUUCAGGUAACCAGGAACCGUACCCCAAACCGACACAGGUGGUUGGGUAGAGAAUACCAAGGCGCUUGAGAGAACUCGGGUGAAGGAACUAGGCAAAAUGGCACCGUAACUUCGGGAGAAGGUGCGCCGGUGAGGGUGAAGCAUUUACUGCGUAAGCCCAUGCCGGUCGAAGAUACCAGGCCGCUGCGACUGUUUAUUAAAAACACAGCACUCUGCAAACACGAAAGUGGACGUAUAGGGUGUGACGCCUGCCCGGUGCCGGAAGGUUAAUUGAUGGGGUUAGCUAACGCGAAGCUCUUGAUCGAAGCCCCGGUAAACGGCGGCCGUAACGAUAACGGUCCUAAGGUAGCGAAAUUCCUUGUCGGGUAAGUUCCGACCUGCACGAAUGGCGUAACGAUGGCGGCGCUGUCUCCACCCGAGACUCAGUGAAAUUGAAAUCGCUGUGAAGAUGCAGUGUAUCCGCGGCUAGACGGAAAGACCCCGUGAACCUUUACUAUAGCUUUGCACUGGACUUUGAAUUUGCUUGUGUAGGAUAGGUGGGAGGCUUUGAAGCGUGGACGCCAGUUCGCGUGGAGCCAACCUUGAAAUACCACCCUGGCAACUUUGAGGUUCUAACUCAGGUCCGUUAUCCGGAUCGAGGACAGUGUAUGGUGGGUAGUUUGACUGGGGCGGUCUCCUCCUAAAGAGUAACGGAGGAGUACGAAGGUGCGCUCAGACCGGUCGGAAAUCGGUCGUAGAGUAUAAAGGCAAAAGCGCGCUUGACUGCGAGACAGACACGUCGAGCAGGUACGAAAGUAGGUCUUAGUGAUCCGGUGGUUCUGUAUGGAAGGGCCAUCGCUCAACGGAUAAAAGGUACUCCGGGGAUAACAGGCUGAUACCGCCCAAGAGUUCAUAUCGACGGCGGUGUUUGGCACCUCGAUGUCGGCUCAUCACAUCCUGGGGCUGAAGCCGGUCCCAAGGGUAUGGCUGUUCGCCAUUUAAAGUGGUACGCGAGCUGGGUUUAGAACGUCGUGAGACAGUUCGGUCCCUAUCUGCCGUGGACGUUUGAGAUUUGAGAGGGGCUGCUCCUAGUACGAGAGGACCGGAGUGGACGAACCUCUGGUGAUCCGGUUGUCACGCCAGUGGCAUUGCCGGGUAGCUAUGUUCGGAAUAGAUAACCGCUGAAAGCAUCUAAGCGGGAAACUAGCCUCAAGAUGAGAUCUCACUGGGACCUUGAGUCCCCUGAAGGGCCGUCGAAGACUACGACGUUGAUAGGUUGGGUGUGUAAGCGCUGUGAGGCGUUGAGCUAACCAAUACUAAUUGCCCGUGAGGCUUGACCG
This 1365-nucleotide ribosomal RNA is filed under the name metagenome. RNAcentral describes it as "bacterial LSU rRNA". It matches the Rfam family "Bacterial large subunit ribosomal RNA", at positions 1580 to 2925 of the family's 2925-position model. The record is from RNAcentral.